Molecule: ribosomal RNA, 465 nt
Filed under: Vreelandella stevensii
Lineage: Bacteria; Pseudomonadati; Pseudomonadota; Gammaproteobacteria; Oceanospirillales; Halomonadaceae
Description: partial 16S ribosomal RNA
Rfam family: Bacterial small subunit ribosomal RNA
Source: RNAcentral
CCUACGGGUGGCAGCAGUGGGGAAUAUUGGACAAUGGGGGGAACCCUGAUCCAGCCAUGCCGCGUGUGUGAAGAAGGCCCUCGGGUUGUAAAGCACUUUCAGUGAGGAAGAACGCCUGGUGGUUAAUACCCAUCAGGAAAGACAUCACUCACAGAAGAAGCACCGGCUAACUCCGUGCCAGCAGCCGCGGUAAUACGGAGGGUGCGAGCGUUAAUCGGAAUUACUGGGCGUAAAGCGCGCGUAGGUGGCUUGAUAAGCCGGUUGUGAAAGCCCCGGGCUCAACCUGGGAACGGCAUCCGGAACUGUCAAGCUAGAGUGCAGGAGAGGAAGGUAGAAUUCCCGGUGUAGCGGUGAAAUGCGUAGAGAUCGGGAGGAAUACCAGUGGCGAAGGCGGCCUUCUGGACUGACACUGACACUGAGGUGCGAAAUCGUGGGUAGCAAACAGGAUUAGAUACCCUAGUAGUC